This 922-nucleotide long non-coding RNA is filed under the name Marmota monax (woodchuck). Lineage: Eukaryota; Metazoa; Chordata; Mammalia; Rodentia; Sciuridae. The record is from RNAcentral.
AAAAUUUUCUAUGGGUUGUGGUCAUCCAACUUCCCAAGGUCAGUUGAACAGCCUGAAAUGGUGGCUUCUCAUUUUUUAAAUUUUCCAUCUUGACUUUGUGGGUAGAUGCCAUAUAAUCCAACAACGCCGAGUGCUGAGUGCUAAGCCCUGUCCCAGGCCUCCCUCCCAGGCUGUCACACUCCCCAGAGGGUCCCCCUGCACAGGUGCAGAUACACACUCCAGGCAUUCAGUCCCCCUCUGUGCAGGGCAGGAUGCUCACCUCCGUGCCCCUGCCAGGGGGGAGUGGCUCUGGGGCGCACUUCCGCCCACCAGGCUGCCACCGCUCUUUACACCGUCCCAAGAAACAGUUAGGAGGAAAGGAUUUGGAAACCUGGUGAAGGAAGCCACACACACCCCGGAGAAGAAGGUAGAGGGUGGCCCUAGGCUUCAUUUGGCAAGUCUUUAAAAAUGGAAUACUUAUGUAUUAAAAGGGAAAGGAGGGGCCAGGGCUAUAGCUCAGUUGGUAGAGGGCUUGCCUUGCAUGCACAAGGCCCUGGGCUCAAUCCCCAGGCCUACAAAAAGUGUCGGGGGAGGGGGGUAUUGGGAAUGGAGCCACCAUUUGACCCAGCUGUCCCUCUCCUCGGUCUAUACCCAAAGGACUUAAAAACAGCAUUCUACAGGGACACAGCCACAUCAAUGUUUACAGCAGCACAAUUCACAGUAGCUAAACUGCGGAGCCAACCUAGAUGCCCUUCAAUAGAUAAAUGGAUCAAAAAAAUGUGGCAUAUACACACAAUGGAAUAUUACUCAGCAAUAAAAGAGAGUAAAAUCAUGGCAUUUGCAGGUAAAUGGAUAGUUAGAGAAGAUAAUGCUAAGUGAAGUUGGCCAAUCCCAAAAACCAAAUGCUGAAUGUUUUCUCUGACGUAAGGAGGCUGAUUCAUAG